UCCCCGAAUAGGAAAACCUACCAAUCCCUG
Molecule: non-coding RNA, 30 nt
Filed under: Mus musculus (house mouse)
Lineage: Eukaryota; Metazoa; Chordata; Mammalia; Rodentia; Muridae
Source: RNAcentral